UGGUGCAUGGCCGUCGUCAGUUCGCACUGUGAAGCAUCCUGUUAAGUCAGGCAACGAGCGAGACCCACGCCCACAGUUGCCAGCGUACUCUCCGGAGUGACGGGUACACUGUGGGGACCGCCGCUGCUAAAGCGGAGGAAGGAAUGGGCAACGGUAGGUCAGUAUGCCCCGAAUAUCCCGGGCUACACGCGAGCUACAAUGGUUGGUACAAUGGGUAUCUACCCCGAAAGGGGACGGGAAUCUCCUAAAACCAAUCUUAGUUCGGAUUGAGGGCUGCAACUCGCCCUCAUGAAGCUGGAAUCCGUAGUAAUCGCGUUUCAACAGAACGCGGUGAAUACGUCCCUGCUCCUU
RNAcentral lists this ribosomal RNA (351 nucleotides) under uncultured Methanosaeta sp. RNAcentral's name for it is "bacterial SSU rRNA". It matches the Rfam family "Archaeal small subunit ribosomal RNA", at positions 988 to 1338 of the family's 1478-position model. The record is from RNAcentral. Lineage: Archaea; Methanobacteriati; Methanobacteriota; Methanomicrobia; Methanotrichales; Methanotrichaceae.